AGUGGAGCUUGCUCCAUGAUUCAGCGGCGGACGGGUGAGUAAUGCCUAGGAAUCUGCCUGGUAGUGGGGGAUAACGUUUCGAAAGGAACGCUAAUACCGCAUACGUCCUACGGGAGAAAGUGGGGGAUCUUCGGACCUCACGCUAUCAGAUGAGCCUAGGUCGGAUUAGCUAGUUGGUGGGGUAAUGGCCCACCAAGGCGACGAUCCGUAACUGGUCUGAGAGGAUGAUCAGUCACACUGGAACUGAGACACGGUCCAGACUCCUACGGGAGGCAGCAGUGGGGAAUAUUGGACAAUGGGCGAAAGCCUGAUCCAGCCAUGCCGCGUGUGUGAAGAAGGUCUUCGGAUUGUAAAGCACUUUAAGUUGGGAGGAAGGGCAGUAAGUUAAUACCUUGCUGUUUUGACGUUACCAACAGAAUAAGCACCGGCUAACUUCGUGCCAGCAGCCGCGGUAAUACGAAGGGUGCAAGCGUUAAUCGGAAUUACUG
This 488-nucleotide ribosomal RNA is filed under the name Metapseudomonas otitidis. RNAcentral's name for it is "bacterial SSU rRNA". It matches the Rfam family "Bacterial small subunit ribosomal RNA", at positions 72 to 556 of the family's 1533-position model. The record is from RNAcentral. Lineage: Bacteria; Pseudomonadati; Pseudomonadota; Gammaproteobacteria; Pseudomonadales; Pseudomonadaceae.